This 524-nucleotide ribosomal RNA is filed under the name Fusarium lateritium. RNAcentral's name for it is "eukaryotic LSU rRNA". The stretch from base 157 to 310 matches the Rfam family "5.8S ribosomal RNA". Lineage: Eukaryota; Fungi; Ascomycota; Sordariomycetes; Hypocreales; Nectriaceae. The record is from RNAcentral.
CAUUACCGAGUUUACAACUCCCAAACCCCUGUGAACAUACCUUAAUGUUGCCUCGGCGGAUCAGCCCGCUCCCCGUAAAACGGGACGGCCCGCCAGAGGACCCAAACUCUAAUGUUUCUUAUUGUAACUUCUGAGUAAAACAAACAAAUAAAUCAAAACUUUCAACAACGGAUCUCUUGGUUCUGGCAUCGAUGAAGAACGCAGCAAAAUGCGAUAAGUAAUGUGAAUUGCAGAAUUCAGUGAAUCAUCGAAUCUUUGAACGCACAUUGCGCCCGCUGGUAUUCCGGCGGGCAUGCCUGUUCGAGCGUCAUUUCAACCCUCAAGCCCCCGGGUUUGGUGUUGGGGAUCGGCUCUGCCUCACGGCGGUGCCGCCCCCGAAAUACAUUGGCGGUCUCGCUGCAGCCUCCAUUGCGUAGUAGCUAACACCUCGCAACUGGAACGCGGCGCGGCCAUGCCGUAAAACCCCAACUUCUGAAUGUUGACCUCGGAUCAGGUAGGAAUACCCGCUGAACUUAAGCAUAUCA